GAAACACUUGCUUUUGAUGGUUCAUUAUUUAUUUUGAACUAGACAAUAUAAGGAGGUGAUCCCUUCACUCUUUUUGCUCAUGUAAGUAUAAAAUAAGAAACGAAAACAACUUUUUUAAUGAACAGAAGCUUCCCUCUCAUAGUUAGACCCUAUAGGAACUGGGAAAAUUGGCCUUUGACAAGUCCAAGCUUCCCUCUUAUAGUUAGACCCCAUAGGAACUGGGAAAAUUGGCCUUUGACAAGUCCAAGCUUCCCUCUUAUAGUUAGACCCCAUAGGAACUGGGAAAAUUGGCCUUAGACAAGUCCAAUGUAAUCCCCCAGGCAGAGAAACGAUGUAUUUUCUUACUUCCACAACUCUAUCUAUACCGUCCAGGAUGGAUUUUGUUGUCUUCUUCCUUUCGGAUAGUAGCCCUUUGUCGUUGGAGGUGCUACCAUUGCUGCUGUUGACGAUUGUUCCUCGAGAGUCCACCAGCAUUCGUUCAUCGGAUUUCUGGAUGCGUAAGACGAAGCUAAGAGACCCAUUCUACCAAUCAAGUGCAAUAGUAGGCAACCGCGUAUCAUUUAAGCCGGAGAAUUUGAUUCACCGAUUAAGUCUGUCUCUGGGAAGCAAGUAGCAUAUAUAUAGAAUUAAUAAAGCGAUUAGGGAGAUAAAAUAAAACUUUCAACUUCGACAUGAAUUUAACUCUGCUGUAAUCUAGGGGUUACUCCUGUCCUUUAGGCUCUUGGAUAUUUCAAUCUUUUGCGAAUUAAAGGGAAUAAAAGUUUAAAAUGAGACCUAAUCAUAUUGCACAGUACAACAGAAUAGAAAACUUAUGAUAGAGUCGCAUAUACUCUAAUGUAACUAAUUUAAAUAUGUUAUCUAAUUUUGAAUCACUUCUAAACUAUGUUCUGCUAUCUCAAACACCAAAUAAAAAUUCAAAUAUUGAAUACACAAUCACAUAAACAAUCAAUCACUUUCAAUUGUAGGCUGCAACAUUACACCACCACGGCAGAAAAAGGACAGUUGACCUAAAUUAUCAAAAUGGUAGAAUGUUAUUCACAAACAUACUACACAAAUGGAAGGUCCAUGGAGGCAAUCCAUUCAAGUACCAAACCCUAGCACAUAAAAUCAAAGUUGUACAAAAAUUAAAACGUCUAACAUACUAAGCAUAUGGUAAAACCAUAUUAAGCUCAAACAACUAAUUGAUACUCCAUUACAGAAGAUGGCACUGAAAGACAACAACAAAUUAGGAAAUUAGGUUUUUUCAGUGUUCUUCUCAAGUUCCCUCCUCAGCUGCAGCGAGAA
Molecule: unclassified non-coding RNA, 1284 nt
Filed under: Hevea brasiliensis (rubber tree)
Lineage: Eukaryota; Viridiplantae; Streptophyta; Magnoliopsida; Malpighiales; Euphorbiaceae
Source: RNAcentral